AUUUGGAGCUGGUCAGUGAAGGAUGUGCGUUGGGUUUGCUGGUAUUCUGGGUUUCGGAUGCUAAGAAUAGCCGCUACUUCAAGAAGGUUUACAUAUCAGGCAGACGCACGGCGCCGGCUUGUGGUAUGAAAAUAAAAACCGCGAUUAGAAUUAGGUAAGUACCGUCGAGAUUACGAAGACGUGCCAGUCAUGAAGCGUUUUAUAUGUGUAUCUAUAGCUAACUAGGUUGCGGGGGGAGGGGGCAGACGUGGAGAAACGGACCCGUAAGACCGUUCCGCUAAUUUAAUUUCGGCUGCGUUCUCGACCUCUCGUCGAGGUAAUCGAACUGGGGGAAAACGGCUAGCUAGGAAGCUCGCUAGUAUCUAGAAGUGCUAGACCAGUGGUCACCGAACCUCUUCCUUCGAGAUCUACCCUCCUGCAGGCUUCAUCUCCAACCCAAAUCUACGAUCAAGAACGUGUUCCGGCGACGAUUUUAGAUGGUCACGUGGGCACCGUUAUGGUUGGAGCUGAAGUCUUCAGGAAGGUAGAUAUCCAGGAGCACUGCGCCUGUGUGUAGACUAACACGGGCUCGAUCGCUAGCUUUAACGGCGGUAAGUUAAAGAUCAUCGGUGCUCAGGUCCAGGAACCAAUCCCCUGCAGUGCUUUUCAGAACUCGGGUGACCCGAUGACCGAGCCUUUCAACAUGCUAAUGCUAAGCUGCGUAACGGUCUAGGCCUGACGGUGGGAUUUCAGGAAGUGUCGUCAGUGUCAGAACCAACUGAAGCGACGCAGGCCUAAUGGUGCGUGGCCUGUUCCCGUGCUUGUGCGCACACAUCUGCGCUGAUUGACAGGCGAGAAGCGUUUAUUACACUCCGCCGCUUUGAAACAAGAUGGCCUGCGUCAGACACGCUCCCUCAGGGUGGGUGACCUUUGACCUUGACCUUUUCUCCUCCCCGCAGGUUAACUGUAGGAAUCCGUCCGCGGACGGAAGAAUCGUCUCGGCGCGACAGUCGAUGAAAAGAGCAGCAACGAUUAAGUCUGAUCUGCGACUGAAUUUCAAACCGGAGACGUGUUAGCGUUAGCAUUAGCCGAGCUAGUUAGCUUAACUAACAAUAAAAAUUUCCACGGUAGCUAGUUAGCACUACGUUCAUACUAGCAAACAGAAGACGACGGUUUUAUUUUUGACGUACGUAACGAGGAGACGUGAUUUUCCACGACUUUUUCGAUUUCCUCAGACCUGUGCGAAUUAUCCAAAAAUCCGAGCUGUCUCGGUCGAUUCCUCGGACCGAUCCUGUAGCGCGUGUUUCUUCAGUUCCUAGCUCGCAGCUUCAGAUCCAACCUGCAAAUAAUUCCCGUUUACGCAGAAACGCGGUUCUGAGCGCGG
Long non-coding RNA from Ictalurus punctatus (channel catfish), 1363 nucleotides. The record is from Ensembl. Lineage: Eukaryota; Metazoa; Chordata; Actinopteri; Siluriformes; Ictaluridae.